This 1426-nucleotide long non-coding RNA is filed under the name Androctonus crassicauda. The record is from RNAcentral. Lineage: Eukaryota; Metazoa; Arthropoda; Arachnida; Scorpiones; Buthidae.
AAAUUUUGUCUGUUCUUUUGAUAGCUCUCGUUAUCUGUUCAAUAGUGUAUCCGAAGACUCAUAUUCUGACAUACAUCUUUAUUACAACUUCGAUAAGAGGGAGAUAAAUGGAAAGAAUUAGCAAUCUUUAUAAAUUAACUUUUUGUCCUAUUGUACUUAUUGCAUCGUAAAAUAUGUGAUGCGAUAUUAUGUUAAACUAUAUUAUAAAAUGCAUAAUUAUGUGGCUCUAAUAUUGGAAGUUUGGGAAACUAAUGUAAUACUAGUAAUGUUAGUAAUUUUUUUUUUAAUACACCCGUUAUGACUGUACAUUUAUUGCUUAUGAUGGAGUUAUGACUCCUCGACUUCGGAUUGACGUACAUUUUGAAUUGCCACCAUUCCCCAAAGUUUCGGUUUUUAUUUUGAAGUUAUGUCUCUUCAGUAGCAUAUUCUUGAAAAACAGAAUGCUUACUUUUUCAAAACAAGGCCUACACAGUGCCGUGCCUGAUAUAUGUGCAAGGCGUGCAUCCCAUACGGGCUACCAAAGUGAAUAUUGCAAAAACAUAAAACAAGAUAUAAAAUAAAAUUAAAAACCAAUAAAACGGUACAUAUAAAAGUAAAAAACAUUGUUUCACAGCCAUAUAAUAUGCUUUAAUAUAUUUUUAAAAACAAUCUUCGAGGCAUAUUUUCUAAUUUAUUUGUCACACUUACGAUCGUUUUAACUUUGCCCGUUUCUGCAGCAUCUGGCCGACAUUCUUUUCCAAAUUGAAGAUACUCGAAAACUAUUUAAGAGCAACAAUGUAGCAAGAAGGCCUGGCAAAUUUAUCAAUUAUAGCAAUAGAGCAUAAAUUAUUGGAUGAAAUUGAUUUACGCCAGCUUAUAUCGGAAUUUGUUCUUAAUAAAAUACGCCACACUUAUUUCUUGUAAGUUGUUGUUUUCCUAUUAAUAUAUUAUUUUUGGAAAAUUAAAUUAUUUGUUAUCUAAUUAGAUAUUUAAUUUUUAUGUGUAGUGGAAUUUUGAAGUUUAUUUAAUAUUAGUUAUGUGCAAUGAAAAUUUUGUAAUUUAUUACAGUUUCCAAGAUAUUCUUCAUUUGUAUUAUGCUUGCUACAUAUUGUAUUAUUACGAUAAUUUCUAAGCUGUUAUGUUAUGACUGUUAUUAUUUACCAUCUUCUUUUUGGAAAGCUUCAUUAAUAAUCAUUCUGAUUUUUAUUUUAUUGAUUGAAUAGGGGAGGUCAAUUAACAGUUGCACAUAGGCGGCUGAAUUUCUUGGCCCGGCACAAAUAAAGAUCCAUCAACAUUGAACCAACGGUAAAUAAAAGAUGUUUAAGAAAUAAAAUCAAAUGGAGUCCAUUUUCAACGGUUCUUGAGAUAUUUUCAUAAUUAUCGGACCAAUUAAAUUUUUUACAAAUUUUUGUCACUCGGAUCUUAUGUCCCUAUAUUUGAUAAAAAU